RNAcentral lists this unclassified non-coding RNA (279 nucleotides) under plant metagenome. Its description in RNAcentral is "partial contains small subunit ribosomal RNA, internal transcribed spacer 1, and 5.8S ribosomal RNA". The record is from RNAcentral.
UCUCCGUAGGUGAACCUGCGGAGGGAUCAUUACAGAUUUGUCGCUCCUGCGAGUAUAUCUCCCACUCACUGUGAUUGAUACUGUGUUACUUUGUCUUCCCGCUGGGCCCUGCCCGUCCGCCGGCCCCGGCUGGUGCCCCCUUGCCAGAGGCUCCGCAAACUCUGAAUGUCAGUGUCGUCUGUUUACACUAUAAUAGUUAUAACUUUCAACAACGGAACUCAUGCUUCUGGUCUCGAUGAAGAACGCCUCAAAUCCGAACACCACACGUCUGAACUCCAG